GAUGAACGCUGGCGGCGUGCCUAAUACAUGCAAGUCGAGCGAACGGACGAGAAGCUUGCUUCUCUGAUGUUAGCGGCGGACGGGUGAGUAACACGUGGAUAACCUACCUAUAAGACUGGGAUAACUUCGGGAAACCGGAGCUAAUACCGGAUGAUAUCUUGAACCGCAUGGUUCAAAAGUGAAAGACGGUCUUGCUGUCACUCAUAGAUGGAUCCGCGCUGCAUUAGCUAGUUGGUAAGGUAACGGCUUACCAAGGCAACGAUGCAUAGCCGACCUGAGAGGGUGACCGGCCACACUGGAACUGAGACACGGUCCGGACUCCUACGGGAGGCAGCAGUAGGGAAUCUUCCGCAAUGGGCGAAAGCCUGACGGAGCAACGCCGCGUGAGUGAUGAAGGUCUUCGGAUCGUAAAACUCUGUUAUUAGGGAAGAACAUAUGUGUAAGUAAAUGUGCACAUCUUGACGGUACCUAAUCAGAAAGCCACGGCUAACUACGUG
This 497-nucleotide ribosomal RNA is filed under the name uncultured bacterium. Its description in RNAcentral is "partial 16S ribosomal RNA". It matches the Rfam family "Bacterial small subunit ribosomal RNA", at positions 28 to 507 of the family's 1533-position model. The record is from RNAcentral.